GUUUCCAUAGUGUAGUGGUUAUCACGUUUCCAUAGCCUAACUGAAAGGUCCCCAGUUUGAAACUGGGUGGAAACA
Molecule: transfer RNA, 75 nt
Filed under: Alosa alosa (allis shad)
Lineage: Eukaryota; Metazoa; Chordata; Actinopteri; Clupeiformes; Clupeidae
Description: tRNA-OTHER
Source: RNAcentral